CCUACGGGAGGCUGCAGUAAGGAAUAUUGGUCAAUGGACGCAAGUCUGAACCAGCCAUGCCGCGUGAAGGAUGAAGGUCCUCUGGAUUGUAAACUUCUUUUAUAGGGGAAGAAACCGGGAAAUUCCUUUUCCGUUGACGGUACCCUGGGAAUAAGCACCGGCUAACUCCGUGCCAGCAGCCGCGGUAAUACGGAGGGUGCAAGCGUUAUCCGGAUUUACUGGGUUUAAAGGGUGCGUAGGUGGGGCUGUAAGUCCGUGGUGAAAUCUCCAGGCUU
Molecule: ribosomal RNA, 275 nt
Filed under: uncultured bacterium
Lineage: Bacteria
Description: partial 16S ribosomal RNA
Rfam family: Bacterial small subunit ribosomal RNA
Source: RNAcentral